UUUAAAACCUAAAAAUUCUUCGCAAGGGUGUUAAAUGUGUCGGAACUUCCGACACUGUGCCGGAACUUCCGGUACAAGGGCUGAACUUCUAACAGAGUAAAAAGUACUCUACGAAAUUCAUAAUAAAACAUGUUUCAACAGAAACUAUUUGAAUCAAAAGUUUAGCAAUGAAGUAUAGAGACUACUGCAGGUAAUCUUUACUUCACAAGAAAGUACAUCGGCACAAAUCAAACUCUAGG
RNAcentral lists this long non-coding RNA (239 nucleotides) under Setaria italica (foxtail millet). RNAcentral's name for it is "long non-coding RNA (SITA_LNC001195)". Lineage: Eukaryota; Viridiplantae; Streptophyta; Magnoliopsida; Poales; Poaceae. The record is from RNAcentral.